RNAcentral lists this ribosomal RNA (562 nucleotides) under Shewanella sp. S25CA. RNAcentral describes it as "bacterial SSU rRNA". It matches the Rfam family "Bacterial small subunit ribosomal RNA", at positions 476 to 1036 of the family's 1533-position model. The record is from RNAcentral. Lineage: Bacteria; Pseudomonadati; Pseudomonadota; Gammaproteobacteria; Alteromonadales; Shewanellaceae.
UACCUACAGAAGAAGGACCCGGCUAACUUCGUGCCAGCAGCCGCGGUAAUACGAGGGGUCCAAGCGUUAAUCGGAAUUACUGGGCGUAAAGCGUACGCAGGCGGUUCAUUAAGCCAGAUGUGAAAUCCCCGGGCUCAACCUGGGAAUUGCAUUUGGAACUGGUGAACUAGAGUCUUGUAGAGGGGGGUAGAAUUUCAGGUGUAGCGGUGAAAUGCGUAGAGAUCUGAAGGAAUACCGGUGGCGAAGGCGGCCCCCUGGACAAAGACUGACGCUCAUGUACGAAAGCGUGGGGAGCAAACAGGAUUAGAUACCCUGGUAGUCCACGCCGUAAACGAUGUCUACUCGGAGUUUGGUGCCUUGAGCACUGGGCUCCCAAGCUAACGCAUUAAGUAGACCGCCUGGGGAGUACGGCCGCAAGGUUAAAACUCAAAUGAAUUGACGGGGGCCCGCACAAGCGGUGGAGCAUGUGGUUUAAUUCGAUGCAACGCGAAGAACCUUACCUACUCUUGACAUCCAGAGAACUUUCCAGAGAUGGAUUGGUGCCUUCGGGAACUCUGAUAUU